This 305-nucleotide ribosomal RNA is filed under the name uncultured bacterium. Its description in RNAcentral is "bacterial SSU rRNA". It matches the Rfam family "Bacterial small subunit ribosomal RNA", at positions 337 to 657 of the family's 1533-position model. The record is from RNAcentral.
ACCUACGGGACGCAGCAGUGGGGAAUAUUGCGCAAUGGGGGCAACCCUGACGCAGCAACGCCGCGUGCAGGAAGAAGGUCUUCGGAUUGUAAACUGUUGUCGCAGGGGAAGAAGACAGUGACGGUACCCUGUGAGAAAGUCACGGCUAACUACGUGCCAGCAGCCGCGGUAAUACGUAGGGAGCAAGCGUUGUCCGGAAUUACUGGGUGUAAAGGGAGCGUAGGCGGGGAUGCAAGUUGGGUGUCAAAACUACCGGCUCAACCGAUAGUCGCACUCAAAACUGCAGCUCUUGAGUGAAGUAGAGG